RNAcentral lists this ribosomal RNA (510 nucleotides) under uncultured bacterium. Its description in RNAcentral is "partial 16S ribosomal RNA". It matches the Rfam family "Bacterial small subunit ribosomal RNA", at positions 28 to 507 of the family's 1533-position model. The record is from RNAcentral.
GACGAACGCUGGCGGCGUGCUUAACACAUGCAAGUCGAACGAAGAGCGAUGGAAGCUUGCUUCCAUCAAUCUUAGUGGCGAACGGGUGAGUAACGCGUAAUCAACCUGCCCUUCAGAGGGGGACAACAGUUGGAAACGACUGCUAAUACCGCAUACGAUCUAAACUCGGCAUCGAGGAUAGAUGAAAGGUGGCCUCUACAUGUAAGCUAUCACUGAAGGAGGGGAUUGCGUCUGAUUAGCUAGUUGGAGGGGUAACGGCCCACCAAGGCGAUGAUCAGUAGCCGGUCUGAGAGGAUGAACGGCCACAUUGGGACUGAGACACGGCCCAGACUCCUACGGGAGGCAGCAGUGGGGAAUCUUCCGCAAUGGACGAAAGUCUGACGGAGCAACGCCGCGUGAGUGAUGACGGCCUUCGGGUUGUAAAGCUCUGUUAAUCGGGACGAAAGGCCUUCUUGCGAAUAGUGAGAAGGAUUGACGGUACCGGAAUAGAAAGCCACGGCUAACUACGUG